CGAGCCUGCUCGCGAUAGCGGUAGACCUAUCGGUCUCAAAUGUUGACUGACACACCGCUAUCGCGAGCAGGCUCG
This 75-nucleotide unclassified non-coding RNA is filed under the name Pseudomonas sp. A214. The record is from RNAcentral. Lineage: Bacteria; Pseudomonadati; Pseudomonadota; Gammaproteobacteria; Pseudomonadales; Pseudomonadaceae.